GUGUUCACGGUGAAGGACCAGCAGGAGUGAAGCCAGAGUCUCUCCUGUUUUCAACUGCUCCCUGUUAAAAAUUAAGCCACCUGAAAAAGUAUAGUAGUUUCUUUAAGCCACGAGAGUAUUAGCCAGUGAGACUUCAGACUGAUGCUUAAUGGAAAAAAGUAUUUCCUUGAAUAUUUAAAUUAAAUGAGAGAGAAUUUUCAAAGGUCGUUACAGCUCACGAUUAGCUUGUGUAAAUCCUCACUUCUCUUUUAUCGCACCCCUUGCCUCUUCUCAGAAGAAGGGAGCUCCAAUGCAGUUCUCUAAUGUGGGAAGUUAGAUCUCUGCCCAGUUUAUACUUGGCUAAACCAUAUUGAUCAAAUCACCUGUGAGCACACAGCGGCUGACUCAGGCCUCAGGGCUCAGCCUGAAGAACAAUUAGAUUGAUCAGAGAUAUCAGCUGUGACUGGAAGAGACAACUCAGUUUGACCAGAGCGGUGCCACUUGCGCGCCAUCCUCCGUCCUCAGCACCAGCUGGUCAGCUCUUGAUCAUUGUCUCCUCCUUUUGGGAGCCUGCUUCCGAUAUUAGCCCUUUGCUCCAAAGUGUUUCCUGCAACCAUCUU
This 599-nucleotide long non-coding RNA is filed under the name Equus caballus (horse). RNAcentral's name for it is "lncRNA (ENSECAG00000058709.1)". Lineage: Eukaryota; Metazoa; Chordata; Mammalia; Perissodactyla; Equidae. The record is from RNAcentral.